GAAGCUGAAGCUGGGAGAGCUUUCGUAAUCACUUGCUAAACUUUGACAUAGUCCUUUGUGGCUACACCGUCAUUUGAGCCUCAGAAAAUGAACAGUGCUUUUAGGGUCACUAGCCUUUGGCUAUAGAUUCUCUGCAACAUGUCCCUAGGAGAGGAACCGGCUUAAAGCAGCCCAAAGGUUGGCUUUGCCAGGGAGAGGUCUCAUGAGCAACUGAACUGUGGCAUCUUCAGUGGUCAUCGCUGCUAACCAUAACAGAGUUUGGCUCGAGGUCUCUCCAGCACCAUCCUGUCGCAGUUUUUGAUGAUUUCAAUAUCCGUACUGAUGAGACUUCCAAUAUCCGGCCGUGGCAGUUGCUUGAACACAGAUCUGCAUAGAUCUCACGCUCCACGAUACCCAGUGGCUGUGCCCAGAUGUUGUCCUUGCCACUCCUCAGCACCAUCUCACUUCCCAAUUCGGCGAGAAAACAGAAGCCACCAAGAGACUAAAAGCUCCUAAUUCACCACCACGCUCCGCUGUGCCCUCCUCCUGUCAGUAGUGAUGAACUGAUGAUCAUGCUCCCAGCUAAGGUCAACCUGCCACUACAUCCCAUUUAAUCGUCUUGUUUUCUCUUUUCAUUGGCUCAUUCCCACAGAUAUACAAAUAUGCUUUUUUUUCCCCCCGUCUUGUCUUAAAAAGGAAAAAAAAAAUCUUUUUUGAAUACA
This is a long non-coding RNA of Neofelis nebulosa (Clouded leopard), 701 nucleotides long. RefSeq lists it as uncharacterized. The record is from RefSeq and is a predicted model, not a curated record. The transcript has 2 exons. NCBI's taxonomy places the organism in Eukaryota, Metazoa, Chordata, Mammalia, Carnivora, Felidae.